GGAGUUAGCCGGUGCUUCUUCUGCGAGUAACGUCACAGAUGUAAGGUAUUAACUUACACCCUUUCCUCCUCGCUGAAAGUGCUUUACAACCAGAAGGCCUUCUUCACACACGCGGCAUGGCUGCAUCAGGGUUUCCCCCAUUGUGCAAUAUUCCCCACUGCUGCCUCCCGUAGGAGUCUGGGCCGUGUCUCAGUCCCAGUGUGGCUGAUCAUCCUCUCAGACCAGCUAGGGAUCGUCGCCUAGGUGAGCCUUUACCUCACCUACUAGCUAAUCCCACCUGGGCUUAUCCAUCAGCGCAAGGCCCGAAGGUCCCCUGCUUUCCCCCGUAGGGCGUAUGCGGUAUUAGCAGUCGUUUCCAACUGUUAUCCCCCACAAAUGGGCAAAUUCCCAGGCAUUACUCACCCGUCCGCCGCUCGUCAUCUUCAAAAGCAAGCUUUUGAAAUGUUACCGCUCGACUUGCAUGUGUUAGGCCUGCCGCCAGCGUUCAAUCUGAGCCAGAAUCAAACUCUGA
This 511-nucleotide ribosomal RNA is filed under the name uncultured bacterium. RNAcentral's name for it is "partial 16S ribosomal RNA". The record is from RNAcentral.